UCUAGCAUAAUUAUUCUUGUGGGGGCACAAGACAGCCUGGUAAAGGGCAGGGAGGGAGAUAAAAUAUCAGUAUAUGAGGAUAGUGUCUAAUUUGAGCUUUAACGCUUUCUAUCAAGAUGGCUGCUUUUAGGCCCACUUAAUUUGAAAUCCUUGGGUAAUAUGAUCUUGAAUCACCUGUUAAAGUUGUUUCUUUUAUCAGAAGGGCUGUACCCCUUUUGAUUAACUCCCUUAGUUUCCUUAAUCAAUUUUAGCUUAAGCAUGGGUGAUGGGGGAAGACUUAAAGGGCUGAACUUCUAUUCAUUUCUCAGGCAACCAGCUAUAACUGUGCUCGGUAGGUUUAUCACCUCUACUCAAAGCUCUUCCCACUCUUUUGCCACAGAGACGGGUUGGCCCUACAUAGGCUGUCUUGGAGUAGCUCGCUCAGUUUCGGGGUUACAAACUAAAGGUCUCUUUGCUUGUAGUUUUCUUGCUAAA
This 474-nucleotide ribosomal RNA is filed under the name Raniceps raninus (tadpole fish). Its description in RNAcentral is "eukaryotic LSU rRNA". Lineage: Eukaryota; Metazoa; Chordata; Actinopteri; Gadiformes; Gadidae. The record is from RNAcentral.